Molecule: ribosomal RNA, 433 nt
Filed under: uncultured bacterium
Lineage: Bacteria
Description: bacterial SSU rRNA
Rfam family: Bacterial small subunit ribosomal RNA
Source: RNAcentral
UACGGAAGGCAGCAGUGGGGAAUAUUGGACAAUGGGCGAAAGCCUGAUCCAGCCAUGCCGCAUGAGUGAAGAAGGCCUUCGGGUUGUAAAGCUCUUUUAGUGAGAAAGAUAAUGACGGUACUCACAGAAGAAGUCCUGGCUAACUCCGUGCCAGCAGCCGCGGUAAUACGGAGAGGGCUAGCGUUAUUCGGAAUUAUUGGGCGUAAAGAGCGCGUAGGCUGAUUAGUAAGUUAAAAGUGAAAUCCCAAAGCUUAACUUUGGAAUUGCUUUUUAAAGCUGCUAGUCUAGAGAUUGAAAGAGGAUAGAGGAAUUCCUAGUGUAGAGGUGAAAUUCGUAAAUAUUAGGAGGAACACCAGUGGCGAAGGCGUCUAUCUGGUUCAAAUCUGACGCUGAGGGCGCGAAGGCGUGGGGAGCAAACGAGGGAUUAGAUACC